RNAcentral lists this small RNA (27 nucleotides) under Bombyx mori (domestic silkworm). RNAcentral describes it as "ovarian small RNA-35059". Lineage: Eukaryota; Metazoa; Arthropoda; Insecta; Lepidoptera; Bombycidae. The record is from RNAcentral.
UGGGUUGCUGUAUACGAUGGUGUAUAC